This 253-nucleotide ribosomal RNA is filed under the name uncultured bacterium. RNAcentral describes it as "partial 16S ribosomal RNA". It matches the Rfam family "Bacterial small subunit ribosomal RNA", at positions 524 to 776 of the family's 1533-position model. The record is from RNAcentral.
GACAGAGGCCCCAAGCGUUAGGCGGAAUCACUGGGCUUAAAGCGUGUGUAGGCGGACGCCUAAGUGUCUUGUGAAAUCCCACGGCUCACCCGUGGAACUGCUGGGCAUACUGGGCGUCUUGGGCCAACUAGGGGCAGCCGGAACAAGCGGUGGAGCGGUGAAAUGCGUAGAUAUCGCUUGGAACGCCGAAGGUGAAAACAGGCUGCUGGGGUUGUGCCGGCGCUGAGACACGAAAGCCAGGGGAGCAAACGGG